GACGAACGCUGGCGGCGUGCUUAACACAUGCAAGUCGAACGGUGAAGCUCCAGCUUGCUGGAGUGGAUCAGUGGCGAACGGGUGAGUAACACGUGAGCAACCUGCCCCUGACUCUGGAAUAAGCGCUGGAAACGGCGUCUAAUACUGGAUACGAGAGUGGUCCGCAUGGGCACUCUCUGUAAAGUUUUUCGGUUGGGGAUGGGCUCGCGGCCUAGCAGCUUGUUGGUGAGGUAAUGGCUCACCAACGCGACGACGGGUAGCCGGCCUGAGAGGGCGACCGGCCACACUGGGACUGAGACACGGCCCAGACUCAUACGGGAGGCAGCAGUGGGGAAUAUUGCACAAUGGGCGGAAGCCUGAUGCAGCGACGCCGCGUGAGGGAUGACGGCCUUCGGGUUGUAAACCUCUUUCAGCAGGGAAGAAGCGAAAGUGACGGUACCUGAAGAAGAAGCACCGGCUAACUACGUG
RNAcentral lists this ribosomal RNA (468 nucleotides) under uncultured bacterium. RNAcentral describes it as "partial 16S ribosomal RNA". It matches the Rfam family "Bacterial small subunit ribosomal RNA", at positions 28 to 507 of the family's 1533-position model. The record is from RNAcentral.